UUACUAAAUUAUCGGUGCUGACUUUGAAC
Molecule: non-coding RNA, 29 nt
Filed under: Mus musculus (house mouse)
Lineage: Eukaryota; Metazoa; Chordata; Mammalia; Rodentia; Muridae
Source: RNAcentral